CGUAGCUCAGCUGGUAGAGCAAUUGACUCUUAAUCAAUGGGUCCAGGGUUCGAGUCCCUGC
RNAcentral lists this transfer RNA (61 nucleotides) under human gut metagenome. It matches the Rfam family "tRNA", at positions 7 to 64 of the family's 71-position model. From Rfam's summary of the family: Transfer RNA (tRNA) molecules are approximately 80 nucleotides in length. Their secondary structure includes four short double-helical elements and three loops (D, anti-codon, and T loops). RNAcentral also lists the same sequence under 2 other names. The record is from RNAcentral.